GAACAUCUUACAAUAGACAGCAUCCGACCCCCCUGACAGCAUCAUCUGUGUAUGGAACGUGGUCAGAUGAGCCUCUGGAUCUUCCACGCCAGUAAAAACAGCUUUAACCGGGACCACGCUCGUGGGAAUUGGCGUGUCAGUAAUCGCCUGAAUGAAAGGCAUUGGGAAAACACGAGGCGGCGUCGACGGUGCCACCUCUUCAGCAGAAGAACGAACCUGC
This 220-nucleotide long non-coding RNA is filed under the name Phaseolus vulgaris (common bean). RNAcentral describes it as "long non-coding RNA (PVUL_LNC002135)". The record is from RNAcentral. Lineage: Eukaryota; Viridiplantae; Streptophyta; Magnoliopsida; Fabales; Fabaceae.